CUGACCCGCGCCCCCCGCAGGCGUCAGCUGCAUGGUGGCCAAGCUCGCCCGCGCCUGCACCCUGCGCAUCCGCCUCCGCCUCCUUACCCCAGCCCCUGGCCCCGCGCCGCCCCCGGAGAACUUCUUCAGCGAGUUCCAGAUGGAAGGCGUCUCCGAGGACAGCAAUGCGAUCUACGUGGAGCUCGCGGCCGAGAACCUCUCUCGCGCCCCGAAGACCGCGCAGAACGCCCGGGCCUUGGAGGUCAAGCUGACCAACAAGCACUUCCCCUCCUGUCGGUGUCCGGUGUCCGUAGAGCUGGUCACUCCCAGGAAGCCGUGGAGGAACCUGCAGGAGCCACAGUCCCAGACGCUGAUGCUGCUGCAGGAGGAACGGGGCAUGUGCCAUAAAGACCCUCAGUCAGCACGGCGUGUGGCAGAAACGCGGUGGAGAGGGAGUGUCCGCCCAGGGACGGCCGAAGCCCUUCGAGUUCCUGCCGGGUGGUGGCCGCGGGCACCAGUGUGGGUCACAGAGGGACGCUGCCAUGUCGGUGAGCAUUUAUCUGCCGGUCUCGAAGACGAUGAAGAGCGUUGUGGAAAAAAUGAAAAUAUCAGCAAUCAGCUUAUUAUUGAAGCAAACCUCAAUGGAGACUUGAACCUGAAAAUAGAGUCGGAACUAGUGUGCGUUACAACUCACUUUAAAGAUCUUGGGAAUCCGCCAUCAGCCUCUGAAAACGAGUCUGAGGACCGCAGCCCAGAGCAGAUGGCGGAGGUGCAGGUGGACAUCAGGAAGUUCCUGCAGUUUCUUGCUGGACAACAAGUGAAUCCCACAAGGGGCGUCUGCAAUAUCGUGAGUCACAAGAUGGUGCACUUUGACCUGCUCCACGAGGACAUGUCCCUCCAGUAUUUCAUCCCGGCCUUGUCCUAGCACUGCCAACUGCACGGGGCCCGGAGACCAUUGCCAUGACCGGAGAGGCACGGGGUGAUGUGCUCAGUCAUUUGUCAAUAUGUCCUCACAGCAGCACAAAUUCUAAUUGUCAGAAAGAUUAAGACAGCACAGUCCUUUAAAUUCCUCACAAUCAUGGUUAUGCCGCAACAGUAAGUAAUCUAUUGCUGUCCAAUUCUCUAGAACUGUGUCCCUCACCUGGCUCAGCUCUUGAUUUGUCCCCUGUAUAGCCCUGGAAGUGGCAUUCAGUGCCUUUACCCUGCUACAGGCUAGCCGGGUCACUUCUACAUUAAGGGGCCUACCAUUGUUGGGAAAAUUGGACAGAUACAUGCAAAAAAAUGAAACUAGACCACCAACUUACACCAUACACAAAAAUAAACUCAAAAUGGAUAAAGGAUUUAAAUGUA
Myotis lucifugus (little brown bat) is the source of this 1329-nucleotide RNA transcript. It is a transcript of the gene named checkpoint protein HUS1-like, with no coding region annotated. NCBI's taxonomy places the organism in Eukaryota, Metazoa, Chordata, Mammalia, Chiroptera, Vespertilionidae. The transcript is spliced from 8 exons. The record is from RefSeq and is a predicted model, not a curated record.